Neopsephotus bourkii (Bourke's parrot) is the source of this 528-nucleotide long non-coding RNA. RefSeq lists it as uncharacterized. The record is from RefSeq and is a predicted model, not a curated record. The transcript is spliced from 3 exons. Lineage: Eukaryota; Metazoa; Chordata; Aves; Psittaciformes; Psittacidae.
GAAAAUGUCCUGUUUGUGUUGCUUGGGAAAAAUAAUUACACUGCUUGUGCUUAUUUACACAGUCACAGCUUGCUGGAGAAAGGCUGAUUUUCCACCCUCCUUCACACGGUCCUGUGAAGAAUUCCUGCUAUUUCAGCAGCUGCAGCAGCACUACUUGUACCUGCUGGGGGCUCUGGUAACCACGAGAGCACAACCUGAGUGAUGGAGGACCAGCAAAAACCUCGCAGGAGUUUACAGACCAAAGCAGGAUUUUACAAGGACCUAGGCUGCUUCCCUGCUAAUUGCACCACCUUACGUGACAAAGGUGUCUUCAUAACCCCAGCAAAAGCUGCUUAUUACUUGACAUGAUGAUUUCCAAUCUGUUGUCAGAACAGUUCCUGGCAUCCUGAGUGCAAGGCACUGACGGCUGGAUAGCUUCAUGCAAGUUUAAUGAAGCACAAGGCUCCAGAUACCUGUCCCGAGGCACUGAUCCUUCCUGGAUGGCUCAGAGACUUCACACUCCUCCACGAGAAGGCAGCUCUGCCUUGU